RNAcentral lists this ribosomal RNA (263 nucleotides) under uncultured bacterium. RNAcentral's name for it is "partial 16S ribosomal RNA". It matches the Rfam family "Bacterial small subunit ribosomal RNA", at positions 91 to 354 of the family's 1533-position model. The record is from RNAcentral.
CCGACCGGCGCACGGGUGAGUAACACGUAUGGAACCUGCCCGCAGCAGGGGGAUAAGCGGAAGAAAUUCCGUCUAAUACCGCGUAACAACGUUGGGAGGCAUCUCCCGAUGUUUAAAGAUUUAUCGGCUGCGGAUGGCCAUGCGGCGCAUUAGCUAGUCGGCGGGGUAACGGCCCACCGAGGCGACGAUGCGUAGGGGUUCUGAGAGGAAGGUCCCCCACACUGGUACUGAGACACGGACCAGACUCCUACGGGAGGCAGCAG